GAUGAAGAACGUAGCGAAAUGCGAUACGUAAUGUGAAUUGCAGAAUUCAGUGAAUCAUCGGAUCUUUGAACGCACAUUGCGCCCGCCAGCACUCUGGCGGGCAUGCCUGUUCGAGCGUCAUUUCAACCAUCAAGCCCCAGGCUUGCGUUGGAGCCCUGCGGCUGCCGCAGCCUCCUAAAAGCAGUGGCGGGCUCGCUAUCACACCGAGUGCAGUAGAUUACUCUUCGCUCAGGGCGUGCAGCGGGUUCCGGCCGUGAAACCCCCUACUUUUAAAGGUUGACCUCGGAUCAGGUAGGAAUACCCGCUGAACUUAAGCAUAUCAAUAAGCGGAGGA
Molecule: unclassified non-coding RNA, 334 nt
Filed under: soil metagenome
Description: partial contains 5.8S ribosomal RNA, internal transcribed spacer 2, and large subunit ribosomal RNA
Rfam family: 5.8S ribosomal RNA (bases 1-120)
Source: RNAcentral